AUUGAACGCUGGCGGCAGGCCUAACACAUGCAAGUCGAGCGGAUGAAGGGAGCUUGCUCCUGGAUUCAGCGGCGGACGGGUGAGUAAUGCCUAGGAAUCUGCCUGGUAGUGGGGGGUAACGUCCGGAAACGGGCGCUAAUACCACAUACGUCCUGAGGGAGAAAGUGGGGGAUCUUCGGACCUCACGCUAUCAGAUGAGCCUAGGUCGGAUUAGCUAGUUGGUGGGGUAAAGGCCUACCAAGGCGACGAUCCGUAACUGGUCUGAGAGGAUGAUCAGUCACACUGGAACUGAGACACGGUCCAGACUCCUACGGGAGGCAGCAGUGGGGAAUAUUGGACAAUGGGCGAAAGCCUGAUCCAGCCAUGCCGCGUGUGUGAAGAAGGUCUUCGGAUUGUAAAGCACUUUAAGUUGGGAGGAAGGGCAGUAAGUUAAUACCUUGCUGUUUUGACGUUACCAACAGAAUAAGCACCGGCUAACUUCGUG
RNAcentral lists this ribosomal RNA (484 nucleotides) under uncultured bacterium. RNAcentral describes it as "partial 16S ribosomal RNA". It matches the Rfam family "Bacterial small subunit ribosomal RNA", at positions 30 to 507 of the family's 1533-position model. The record is from RNAcentral.